This 73-nucleotide transfer RNA is filed under the name Ovis aries (sheep). It matches the Rfam family "tRNA". Rfam says of the family: Transfer RNA (tRNA) molecules are approximately 80 nucleotides in length. Their secondary structure includes four short double-helical elements and three loops (D, anti-codon, and T loops). Lineage: Eukaryota; Metazoa; Chordata; Mammalia; Artiodactyla; Bovidae. The record is from Rfam by way of RNAcentral.
UCCCUGGCAGUCCAGUGGCUAAGACGUCACACUCCCAAUGAAGGGGGCUCAGGUUUGAUUCCUGGUCAGGGAA